GACGAACGCUGGCGGCGUGCUUAACACAUGCAAGUCGAACGGAAAGGCCCUGCUUGCCGGGUGCUCGAGUGGCGAACGGGUGAGUAACACGUGGGUGAUCUGCCCCUUACUUUGGGAUAAGCCUGGGAAACUGGGUCUAAUACUGGAUAGGACCAUGCUGUAGGUGGUGUGGUGGAAAGAUUAGUUUCGGUAAGGGAUGAGCUCGCGGCCUAUCAGCGUGUUGGUGGGGUAAUGGCCUACCAAGGCGUCGACGGGUAGCCGGCCUGAGAGGGUGGACGGCCACAUUGGGACUGAGAUACGGCCCAGACUCCUACGGGAGGCAGCAGUGGGGAAUAUUGCACAAUGGGCGCAAGCCUGAUGCAGCGACGCCGCGUGGGGGAUGACGGCCUUCGGGUUGUAAACUCCUUUCAGCCAUGACGAAGCCCUUGUGGUGACGGUAGUGGUAGAAGAAGCACCGGCUAACUACGUG
RNAcentral lists this ribosomal RNA (469 nucleotides) under uncultured bacterium. RNAcentral describes it as "partial 16S ribosomal RNA". It matches the Rfam family "Bacterial small subunit ribosomal RNA", at positions 28 to 507 of the family's 1533-position model. The record is from RNAcentral.